Oncorhynchus tshawytscha (Chinook salmon) is the source of this 3114-nucleotide long non-coding RNA. NCBI's taxonomy places the organism in Eukaryota, Metazoa, Chordata, Actinopteri, Salmoniformes, Salmonidae. The record is from Ensembl.
UUAAUGCAAUCGUUUUUUAAUUACAACAAAAUGGGCAAAUCACAAACCUCCAGAAUUGUUGUGCUGUAUGUGGUAACAUUGUAGUUUUAAUGUAUUAACCACAUUAACAUUACUACUAUUACACAGCCCUAUUCAUUGGAUCAUUAGCUUAUAUAGCGUAGGCGUAUUACAGAAAAUCAUCCUCUGUUGUCAUCUCACUAUUAUCAAUGGAACACAUUUCACUUCCUGUUUCAUUGUUAAUCAUCAACAAAAGCACCACAUUUAUAACCACUAAUCAGUAGAUUGACAUUAACACUGGUUUGUACAACCUUUUUAGGAUUUGUAUCAUUGCAUGACUAUAGUAAGACUUCACACGAAGACUGAGGACUCCAUUAGCUUCAAUGUUUGCAGAUCUGUAGGGGUGGAAGCAAUAUAGUGGAAGCUCUACAACAAUACUGCUUCUACGUAUAUAGAUGCUUCAGAUCUGACAACCUUGAAGUAGUUCAGGGCCAAGGAGAAGGGGUAGGGAGCAAAUUAGGACCAGGUAUGCAUCAGCCACAGCCUCCAUCUUCCUCUUCCUCCCCCUCCAAUUCAGGGCUGCCGAUCUGCACCUGCCUAGCCAGGAACACUCCAUCUUCCCAGCGGGGUGGUGGUGAUGAUGAUGAUGAUGAUCCCCUCUGCAUGUCUCUCUCCAAUAGAAGAGGCUCCUCACUCUCUGACGUGGUCUUCUCUGAAGAGUUAGACGCUGUGGCGCCCAACCCUUGGAUCUGUGGCUGAAACCUUAGCUUGGCUGGGUCAGGAAAACAGGGAAAUCAAACCCAACUAAAAGUGUUGAGUAAUUUAAAAAAUCCCAAGUGCUAGACACCCAAAUGGAUUUUUAGAUGUAAUGGGCAUUGAUCACUUUAAAAACAUUUCGGCAUAAAGCCUUCAUAAGUGGUUUUACUGUGACCUAGGUUGGUUAGGUCAGGUCAACAUAACAGCACACAUGGAAUCAGAUUAAUUCAACAUCAUUUAAAUAAUUUUUUCAGUUUAGUAGAUGACGGUCUGUUGAUGUAAUGUUGUCAAACACGAUCAUUUCCGAAGCCAUUUCAGAUCAGAAAAAGCGCCGGAGAUCCAGAACAGAGGCUUUACCCAUAACCACUCUGAGGGAAUGUUCACGUCAAGUGAUGUCAUAAUGCUUCUUUCAACCUGGAAGCAUUCCAUCGGAAAAAUAAGUGCUGUAAUGUUUUUCCUGAGUAGUCUCAAAAUGUGGUUCUGGGUGCUGAGAUUGUUUAAUUAAUUGUGUUGCCCUCUCUGGGUUCUGAGUUCUCUUCACCCGAACACUUUAAUAUGUCUGGUAUAACAAACCAACUCAGAUCUAGAAGGAAGCCUGAGCAGUUUUUGAUUUGCAUUAUCUCAGUUUGAUUAUCAAAUGCUAAGCUGACAAUUAUACUGUACUAGUCCAGUUUUGGGUACCGGUAUGCCCCUGUUCUGGAGGACAUAAGCACAUGGAUUUUAAGCACACACAUUAAUCCCAAGCAGUGGAUAUUCAGUCAGCAGAUCCAAUGGUUAAGGUCAAGCAGAGUGAUCGAAAUUGGUUAAGUUAAGGUUAAUGUUAAGGUAUGGUUAGGGUUAGGCAUAGCCAGGGUCAGAAAACUGCCAUCUGAAACCAUUCCAAAUCUGCCAGCUGUAUAUACAGUGCCAGUCAAAAGUUUGGACACACCUACUCAUUACAGGGUUUUUCUUAUUUUUUAAAAACUAUUUUCUACAUUGUAGAAUAAUAGUGAAGACAUCGAAACAAUGAAGACAUAUGGAAUCAUGUCGUAACCAAAGAAAGUGUUAAACAAAUCAAAAAUGCAUUCCAGGUGACUACCUCAUGAAGCUGGUUGAGAGUAUGUCAAGAGUGUGCAAAGCUGUCAUCAAAGCAAAGGGUGACUAGGUUGAAGAAUCUCAAAUUGAAAAUAUAUUUUGAUUUGUUUUAAACUUUUUUGAUUACUACACGAUUCCAUUUGUUAUUUCAUAGUUUUGAUGUCUUCACUAUUAUUCUACAAUGUAGAAAAUAGUCAAACCAAAAAUAAAGAAAAACCCUUGAAUGAGUCGGUGUGUCCAAACGUUUGACUGGUACUGUACACUGCCACUACCCACUGAGAUCUAAGACUUCCACACACAGAUCAGAAGCCUAGAUAGAUUUCUAAUGGGACUGAUUCAUUCACAUCUUUCACCUUUCUGGAGGUUUUCAUUUCUCUCUUUCAGAUCGCUGAUUUCCACACUCAUCGCUGACAUCUGGUAUGGAGGGAAAUGGUUGAUUUUUAAGCUGAACUGAAGGUUGAAUCUACAGAUCUACUCCUUUCAUUUGACCAGACUUUCUACACUCAGAAAAAAAGGUUUCAAAAUGGUUCUCCCAAAUAGGAGAACCCUAUUUGAUUCCGUGUAGAACCAUUUUCGGAACCAAAAGGGGUUCUUCAAAGGGUUCUCCUAUGGGUACACCCGAAUAACCCUUUUAAAUUCUAGAUAGCACGUCCUAAGAGUGUACGGCAAAGGAACGACGCCGUGCGCUUAGUUACAUUUUUCAAAUGUGGGAUUUUUUUUUGGGGGGUCUGACGAGAAAUGUGUCCCAAUUUGAGGCAUGUUUUGUAAGGCUACAAACAUUACUCUGUAGCGCCACCCCUUGGAAGCAAGUCAACUUCUUGUCCAGGCCUCUUCUACUCUUAGGGGGGAGUUAGUUAGUCAGUCAGAUGUGGUCGGAGUCCCAAAUGACACCCUAUUCCCUAUAUGGUGCAGCUAUGGGGCUCUGGUCAAAAGUAGUGCACUAUAGAGGGAAAAGGGGGCCAUUGUGGAAGCACAUGUGGUCGGUAUCAGUGCCUCUGGCCAGGUCAGCCAGUCUCCUCAGCCACAAAUGGGAUUAUUCCUCCCAGUAUAACAAGUAAUGUCAGAUUAUUAUUGUGCUGUAUUUCACAGAGGAGUGAUUAUGGAGUCUCUCUCUGCCCUCCACCUCUCUCUCUCUCUGCCCUCCACCUCUCUCUCUCUCUGCCCUCCACCUCUCUCUCUCUCUGCCCUCCACCUCUCUCUCUCUCUACCCUCCAUCUCUCUCUCCUCCACCUUUCUCUCUCUCUCUCUCUCUGCCCUCCACCUCUCUCUCUCUCUGCCCUCCAUCUC